This 357-nucleotide long non-coding RNA is filed under the name Salvia miltiorrhiza (redroot sage). Its description in RNAcentral is "long non-coding RNA (SMIL_LNC008499)". The record is from RNAcentral. Lineage: Eukaryota; Viridiplantae; Streptophyta; Magnoliopsida; Lamiales; Lamiaceae.
UAAAAAUGAAUUCAUAUGAUCCUGUGAAACAAUACUGAGAUUCCGAGAGAGAGGGGGAGUACAAAUUGCGGCAUAGUUAUUCCUAAUUCCUAAAUAAAUGAGCUCAUAACAGCUAUCAUGGUUGAUAUGGAAACAAGGGGUACAUAAUCCAAUAGGAAACCGCCAACAAAUAAAAGAGGGGAGAAUCACAAUCGAAAACCAUAACUUACUCAAAUGAACCAAAGAUUAAGCUGAAAUAACAAAGAAAAAGAAAGAAUAAUCGACGAACUGAAAUGAAUGUUUGUUCAAAAUAUAAUUGAGAUAAAGAAGGGAAGGAGAAGAAAUCACCUGCACUGCACACAGCGAGAGAGAGAGAGA